Non-coding RNA from Gossypium raimondii (Peruvian cotton), 138 nucleotides. The record is from Rfam. NCBI's taxonomy places the organism in Eukaryota, Viridiplantae, Streptophyta, Magnoliopsida, Malvales, Malvaceae.
UGUUAAAAUUUUCAUCUAUUUGCACUGUUAAAAAUUGACAUGAUUGCUGAGAUAACCAGACAAUGACACGUGGCAUGUAAAUUAUGCUGAUGUACAUGCAUCAAUUUUUAGUAGUAAAUUUGGAUGAAAUUUUUAAAA